This 254-nucleotide ribosomal RNA is filed under the name uncultured bacterium. RNAcentral's name for it is "partial 16S ribosomal RNA". It matches the Rfam family "Bacterial small subunit ribosomal RNA", at positions 524 to 776 of the family's 1533-position model. The record is from RNAcentral.
UACGGAGGGGACUAGCGUUGUUCGGAAUUACUGGGCGUAAAGCGCACGUAGGCGGAUUUGUAAGUCAGGGGUGAAAUCCCGGGGCUCAACCUCGGAACUGCCUUUGAUACUGCAAAUCUCGAGUCCGGAAGAGGUGAGUGGAAUUCCUAGUGUAGAGGUGAAAUUCGUAGAUAUUAGGAAGAACACCAGUGGCGAAGGCGGCAUCCUGGACCAAUACUGACGCUGAGUGAGCGAAAGCCAGGGGAGCAAACGGG